CCUGCAAAGUUUGCAAAUUUUGUAUACUUUUGUAUUGCAUGCGAAAAUUGCAAUACAAAAGUAUACAAAAUUUGCAAACUUUGGAAGGCUAU
Non-coding RNA from Paramuricea clavata, 92 nucleotides. The record is from the annotation of a GenBank genome assembly. Lineage: Eukaryota; Metazoa; Cnidaria; Anthozoa; Malacalcyonacea; Plexauridae.